RNAcentral lists this ribosomal RNA (260 nucleotides) under uncultured bacterium. RNAcentral's name for it is "partial 16S ribosomal RNA". It matches the Rfam family "Bacterial small subunit ribosomal RNA", at positions 524 to 782 of the family's 1533-position model. The record is from RNAcentral.
UACGGAGGGAGCUAGCGUUAUUCGGAAUUACUGGGCGUAAAGCGCACGUAGGCGGCUUUGUAAGUAAGAGGUGAAAGCCUGGAGCUCAACUCCAGAACUGCCUUUUAGACUGCAUCGCUUGAAUCCAGGAGAGGUGAGUGGAAUUCCGAGUGUAGAGGUGAAAUUCGUAGAUAUUCGGAAGAACACCAGUGGCGAAGGCGACUCACUGGACACAUAUUGACGCUGAGGUGCGAAAGCGUGGGGAGCAAACAGGAGUUAGA